This 476-nucleotide ribosomal RNA is filed under the name Silhouettia silhouettae. RNAcentral describes it as "partial 16S ribosomal RNA". It matches the Rfam family "Bacterial large subunit ribosomal RNA", at positions 1829 to 2597 of the family's 2925-position model. The record is from RNAcentral. Lineage: Eukaryota; Metazoa; Mollusca; Gastropoda; Stylommatophora; Streptaxidae.
AGCUCAUAGAGUGACUUAUUAGGAGUAAAGCCUGCCCGGUGAAGAAAGUAAUCUUUUAACGGCCGCAGUACUUUGACUGUGCUAAGGUAGCAUAAUCAAUUGUCUCUUAAUUAGGGACUGGAAUGAAAGGUUAUCUGGGGUUUAACUGUCUCAAAGAGAAAAGUCUAAUUUAUUUAGAAGGUGAAAAUCCCUUCACUCACACCUAAAAGACGAGAAGACCCUAAGAGUUUUAAUAACUAUAGCCCCAUCUGUAAGAGCUUUAUGUUUUUGUUGGGGCAACAAGGCAUCAAUAUUAGCUUCAGAUAAUAUGCCUAACUUUAUUUGAUAAUACAUAACGGAAUCAUCUCCUUUUUGGAUACAACUACCUUAGGGAUAACAGCGUAAUUUCCUAUGAAGAUUGCGACCUCGAUGUUGGACUAGGAACCUAAAUGGCUAAAAGCUAAUAUGGAUUGUUCUGUUCGAACAUUAGUAUUCCU